GACGAACGCUGGCGGCGUGCUUAACACAUGCAAGUCGAACGGAAAGGCCCUGCUUUUGUGGGGUGCUCGAGUGGCGAACGGGUGAGUAACACGUGAGUAACCUGCCCUUGACUUUGGGAUAACUUCAGGAAACUGGGGCUAAUACCGGAUAGGAGCUCCUGCUGCAUGGUGGGGGUUGGAAAGGUUCGGCGGUUGGGGAUGGACUCGCGGCUUAUCAGCUUGUUGGUGGGGUAGUGGCUUACCAAGGCUUUGACGGGUAGCCGGCCCGUGAGGGUGACCGGACACAUUGGGACUGAGAUGCGGCCCAGACUCCUACGGGAGGCAGCAGUGGGGAAUAUUGCACAAUGGGCGGAAGCCUGAUGCAGCAACGCGGCGUGCGGGAUGACGGCCUUCGGGUUGUAAACCGCUUUCGCCUGUGACGAAGCGUGAGUGACGGUAAUGGGUAAAGAAGCACCGGCUAACUACGUG
RNAcentral lists this ribosomal RNA (468 nucleotides) under uncultured bacterium. RNAcentral's name for it is "partial 16S ribosomal RNA". It matches the Rfam family "Bacterial small subunit ribosomal RNA", at positions 28 to 507 of the family's 1533-position model. The record is from RNAcentral.